RNAcentral lists this ribosomal RNA (342 nucleotides) under uncultured bacterium. Its description in RNAcentral is "bacterial SSU rRNA". It matches the Rfam family "Bacterial small subunit ribosomal RNA", at positions 9 to 334 of the family's 1533-position model. The record is from RNAcentral.
AAGUUUGAUUCUGGCUCAGGACGAACGCUGGCGGCAUGCCUAACACAUGCAAGUCGAACGGAGCCAUGGUAUGGAUCUCUUCGGAGUGACGUACCGGAAGCUUAGUGGCAGACGGGUGAGUAACACGUGAGCAACCUGCCCUAUAGAGGGGAAUAACACACCGAAAGGUGUGCUAAUACCGCAUAAGUAUGAUUAUCGCAUGGUAGACAUAUGAAAGAUUUAUCGCUAUAGGAUGGGCUCGCGGCUGAUUAGUUAGUUGGUGGGGUAACGGCCCACCAAGCCAACGAUGGGUAGCCGAGCUGAGAGGCUGAUCGGCCACACUGGAACUGAGACACGGUCCAG